AUUACAGCCAAAUAUAUCAGAGAGGCUAUUGAUGCAGAACAUAUUGCCAUAGCUGAUCAGGUGGCAGUGCAAAAAGCAAUAUCCCAAGUUACAAGAAUUCCUGUGCCUCAACUUGGUCCCAACGAAAAUUUUGAGAACAAUUCAUUGGCACGGCUUGGAGAAGACAGAAGACGUACAAGUGGAAAAGUUACAAAAAAUUUACUUAUCGCUGCAAUAGGUAAA
This is a long non-coding RNA of Adelges cooleyi (spruce gall adelgid), 222 nucleotides long. RefSeq lists it as uncharacterized. NCBI's taxonomy places the organism in Eukaryota, Metazoa, Arthropoda, Insecta, Hemiptera, Adelgidae. The transcript has 4 exons. The record is from RefSeq and is a predicted model, not a curated record.